GACGAACGCUGGCGGCGUGCUUAACACAUGCAAGUCGAACGGUAAGGCCCUUCGGGGUACACGAGUGGCGAACGGGUGAGUAACACGUGGGUGAUCUGCCCUGCACUUCGGGAUAAGCCUGGGAAACUGGGUCUAAUACCGGAUAGGACCAUGGACUUCACGGUUUGUGGUGGAAAGCUUUUGCGGUGUGGGAUGGGCCCGCGGCCUAUCAGCUUGUUGGUGGGGUAAUGGCCUACCAAGGCGACGACGGGUAGCCGGCCUGAGAGGGUGUCCGGCCACACUGGGACUGAGAUACGGCCCAGACUCCUACGGGAGGCAGCAGUGGGAAUAUUGCACAAUGGGCGCAAGCCUGAUGCAGCGACGCCGCGUGAGGGAUGACGGCCUCGGUUGUAACCUCUUUCAAUAGGACGAAGCGCAAGUGACGGUACC
RNAcentral lists this ribosomal RNA (429 nucleotides) under uncultured bacterium. RNAcentral describes it as "bacterial SSU rRNA". It matches the Rfam family "Bacterial small subunit ribosomal RNA", at positions 28 to 479 of the family's 1533-position model. The record is from RNAcentral.